This 240-nucleotide unclassified non-coding RNA is filed under the name soil metagenome. Its description in RNAcentral is "partial contains 5.8S ribosomal RNA, internal transcribed spacer 2, and large subunit ribosomal RNA". The record is from RNAcentral.
AACUGAUACUACCUGCGGGAACCUGCGGAAGGAUCAUUGCUGGAACGCGCCCCAGGCGCACCCAGAAACCCUUUGUGAACUUAUACCUUACUGUUGCCUCGGCGCAUGCCGGCCCCCAGGGGCCCCUCGGAGACGAGGAGCAGGCACGCCGGCGGCCAACCUAACUCUUGUUUUUACACUGAAACUCUGAGAAAAAAAACAAAAUGAAUCAAAACUUUUAGCAACGGAUCUCUAGAUCGG